AUGACCUGUGUGGAAAAGGAUGCCUCAGUACUUUUGUCAUGUUUUCCAGAAUAAAUAUCUACACUCUAAAAACGGCUGGGUUAUUUUUUAACCCAAAAUGCUGGGCUGAGUCUGUUGGGUCAUCUUGUUGGGUUAUUUUAUUACUUUUUAAACACUUUUGGGUAGUUUCAAUUUACCAGGUGUUGAGUUAAACCUGCUGGGUUGCAACGCUGGGUUGUUUCAGGCCAGCACUGGGUUAUUUAACGCGCCUUGAAGAUGUUUAAAUCGCUCCCUAACUGUCAUUUUGGAAGGACAACGGGCAAAGCAACUGGUUUCAACUGUUUUAAGAAGAGAACAUGGAAACAUUUGUGAGAGAAAAACUCGUCGAGUGCAGUCUUAUGGAGACGUCUAACGGUUGGAACAAACGUGGAAUUCCUUAACCGAGUCCACAAAACCCCAUCCAUCUGUCAUGGCGAUUUGAAA
Cyprinus carpio (common carp) is the source of this 462-nucleotide long non-coding RNA. RefSeq lists it as uncharacterized. Lineage: Eukaryota; Metazoa; Chordata; Actinopteri; Cypriniformes; Cyprinidae. The record is from RefSeq and is a predicted model, not a curated record. The transcript has 3 exons.